UCCCUGGUGGUCCAGUGACUAAGACUGCUCUGCACUGCCAAUGCAGGAGGCCCAGGUUCAACUCCUGGGCAGGGAA
This 76-nucleotide transfer RNA is filed under the name Bos grunniens (domestic yak). It matches the Rfam family "tRNA". Rfam says of the family: Transfer RNA (tRNA) molecules are approximately 80 nucleotides in length. Their secondary structure includes four short double-helical elements and three loops (D, anti-codon, and T loops). Further hydrogen bonds mediate the characteristic L-shaped molecular structure. tRNAs have two regions of fundamental functional importance: the anti-codon, which is responsible for specific mRNA codon recognition, and the 3' end, to which the tRNAs corresponding amino acid is attached (by aminoacyl-tRNA synthetases). tRNAs cope with the degeneracy of the genetic code in two manners: having more than one tRNA (with a specific anti-codon) for a particular amino acid; and 'wobble' base-pairing, i.e. permitting non-standard base-pairing at the 3rd anti-codon position. Lineage: Eukaryota; Metazoa; Chordata; Mammalia; Artiodactyla; Bovidae. The record is from Rfam by way of RNAcentral. RNAcentral also lists the same sequence under 1 other name.